AAAAGUACUUGCGGAUUUUGCU
This 22-nucleotide microRNA is filed under the name Pan troglodytes (chimpanzee). RNAcentral describes it as "ptr-miR-548k". Its record names the gene ptr-miR-548k. The record is from miRBase by way of RNAcentral. Lineage: Eukaryota; Metazoa; Chordata; Mammalia; Primates; Hominidae. RNAcentral also lists the same sequence under 1 other name.